This is a long non-coding RNA of Cyprinus carpio (common carp), 302 nucleotides long. RefSeq lists it as uncharacterized. The transcript is spliced from 3 exons. NCBI's taxonomy places the organism in Eukaryota, Metazoa, Chordata, Actinopteri, Cypriniformes, Cyprinidae. The record is from RefSeq and is a predicted model, not a curated record.
CUCUCUUUGUGUCAUUAGUGUAAGAUCAGGCUCACAUGUGUCUGUGAAGAGUGACCGGUCAAAGGAUGGUGACGUACCAGACUUCAGUGAGAAAAAAACAUCUAUCAAAAGUGUAAGAUCAGGAUCACAUGUGUCCAGCUCUGUGUCUGUGAAGAGUGACUGGUCAAAGAGAGAAGGACCAGUCUUCAGUGAAGAAACAGCAUCACGAACCAAACGGCUUCAGUAUGAAACAUUAGAUCCAGAUUUACAGUCUCACAGGAACCGCAAGAAGUUUACAGACAGUCUCCUGCAGAUCUUCCAGG